GUGGGGAAUCUUGCGCAAUGGGCGAAAGCCUGACGCAGCCAUGCCGCGUGAAUGAUGAAGGUCUUAGGAUUGUAAAAUUCUUUCACCGGGGACGAUAAUGACGGUACCCGGAGAAGAAGCUCCGGCUAACUUCGUGCCAGCAGCCGCGGUAAUACGAAGGGGGCUAGCGUUGCUCGGAAUUACUGGGCGUAAAGGGCGCGUAGGCGGACAGCUUAGUCAGAGGUGAAAGCCCAGGGCUCAACCUUGGAAUUGCCUUUGAUACUGGCUGUCUUGAGUUUGGGAGAGGUGAGUGGAACGCCGAGUGUAGAGGUGAAAUUCGUAGAUAUUCGGAAGAACACCAGUGGCGAAGGCGACUCACUGGCCCAAUACUGACUCUGAGGCGCGAAAGCGUGGGGAGCAAACAGGAUUAGAAACCCGGGUAGUCC
Molecule: ribosomal RNA, 425 nt
Filed under: uncultured bacterium
Lineage: Bacteria
Description: partial 16S ribosomal RNA
Rfam family: Bacterial small subunit ribosomal RNA
Source: RNAcentral